CAGUAGCCGCGGGAAUACAGAGGGUGCGAGCGUUAAUCGGAUUUACUGGGCGUAAAGCGUGCGUAGGCGGCUUCUUAAGUCGGAUGUGAAAUCCCUGAGCUUAACUUAGGAAUUGCAUUCGAUACUGGGAAGCUAGAGUAUGGGAGAGGAUGGUAGAAUUCCAGGUGUAGCGGUGAAAUGCGUAGAGAUCUGGAGGAAUACCGAUGGCGAAGGCAGCCAUCUGGCCUAAUACUGACGCUGAGGUACGAAAGCAUGGGGAGCAAACAGGAUUAGAUACCCGAGUAGUCCCUGUCUCUUAUAC
Molecule: ribosomal RNA, 301 nt
Filed under: uncultured bacterium
Lineage: Bacteria
Description: partial 16S ribosomal RNA
Rfam family: Bacterial small subunit ribosomal RNA
Source: RNAcentral